UUUAAAUAGUUUAAAUAAAAUUUUAAUUUGUGGAAUUAAAGAUAUAGAAAUAUUUUAAGUAA
Molecule: transfer RNA, 62 nt
Filed under: Coleoptera sp. ACP-2013
Lineage: Eukaryota; Metazoa; Arthropoda; Insecta; Coleoptera
Description: tRNA-His
Source: RNAcentral